Molecule: ribosomal RNA, 348 nt
Filed under: Planctomycetota bacterium
Lineage: Bacteria; Pseudomonadati; Planctomycetota
Description: bacterial SSU rRNA
Rfam family: Bacterial small subunit ribosomal RNA
Source: RNAcentral
AAUUGAAGAGUUUGAUCCUGGCUCAGAUUGAACGCUGGCGGCAUGGCUAAAGCAUGCAAGUCGAACGAGAACCCGCCUUCGGGCGGGGGACAGUGGCGAAAGGGCGAGGAAUACGCUCCUCAUGUGCCCCGAGGUGGGGGAUAGGUCAGGGAAACCUGGCGUAAUACCCCAUGUGCUCUCCGGAGGAAAGGUUUCGGCCGCCUCGGGAGCAGGGAGCGUCCUAUCAGGUUGUUGGUGAGGUUACGGCUCACCAAGCCGAAGACGGGUAGCGGGUGUGAGAGCAUGACCCGCCGCAUCGGGACUGAGACACUGCCCGGACUCCUACGGGAGGCUGCAGCGACGAAUCUU